UAAUAUUUUGUUUUAUUUUAUCGUAGGUCGUUACUGGUACCGAAAAUUUAACCAAGAGAUGGACGUUCCAAAAUAGUACCUACGAGUUGAAUACUGCUGAUGAGCUCGAAUGGGUGCAAGCCAAGAAUGAUUGCCGAAGGAAAGGAAUGCGGCUAGUGAGCAUUGAAAGCGUUGACGAGUACUAUACAAUCUUGGAAGUUAUAGCCCCGUUCAACUUAUCAAUUUGGAUGUCGGGUUCUGAUGAUGGUCAAGAGGGUGAAUUUUAUUGGGAGGCAACUGGUCAACUCAUAGGACCUUUCACUACCUGGUAUCCUGGUGAGCCGAACAACCUGAAAGGCAACGAGAACUGUAUGCAAAUGUCGGGCUAUCAAUAUUAUCUCUGGAGCGAUGAAGAUUGCGACGUUUUGGCAAAUUAUAUUUGUGAGGGAUAUCUCUGCUCUUAAUUGACGCAUGAAAUGUUUUCUUUGAAAUCAUUAUCAUUAAUUAAUUAAAAAUCUUGCAACGUAAUUAUACAUAUAUGAGUGAGCCUGUUUACAGGUCUUCUUUAUUUUCCACAGCAUCCA
This is a long non-coding RNA of Cloeon dipterum, 563 nucleotides long. RefSeq lists it as uncharacterized. The transcript is spliced from 4 exons. The record is from RefSeq and is a predicted model, not a curated record. NCBI's taxonomy places the organism in Eukaryota, Metazoa, Arthropoda, Insecta, Ephemeroptera, Baetidae.